UCGCCCCUCAAGCCCGGCUUGUUGUUGGACGCGGCGGUCGCCUUUGGUGGCCCCGCCCGUCUCAAAGAUAAUGACGGCGUCUGCGAGGACCCCUGUACACUGAGCUCACGGGCACUUCUUCCACAG
This 126-nucleotide unclassified non-coding RNA is filed under the name uncultured soil eukaryote. Its description in RNAcentral is "sequence contains ITS2". The record is from RNAcentral.